RNAcentral lists this unclassified non-coding RNA (89 nucleotides) under Pseudomonas sp. A214. Lineage: Bacteria; Pseudomonadati; Pseudomonadota; Gammaproteobacteria; Pseudomonadales; Pseudomonadaceae. The record is from RNAcentral.
UGUGGGAGCGAGCCUGCUCGCGAUGGGGCCAUGCCAGUCAACAUCGAGGUGAAUGGAAGACCGCUAUCGCGAGCAGGCUCGCUCCCACA